CCAAUACAUAUACCAGACACAAGCUGGUCAAGAGAAACAAAAUCAUCACCUAAACACCACCUACUACCACUAAGUACAUUGAAACUUGUUUAACUUAACUUGUACACUUUGCAAAACUGAUUUAUCAGCUCAAACAUACCUAAUUACAUCAAGUACAUUGACAACUUAGUUGAAAUCAAGCUAAGUAACAAAACAAACACUUGAAGUAACCAAAAUAAAUGAGCAGCAUGAACUUCAGCUGCAACUGCUUAUCUCGAGCAGCUUCUGUUGCUUCUAAUCAGCAUGUAGGCCAACUUCAUCAGGAGGAAAUCUGAGAGCUAGAAGACAAGCCCAAGGAAGAGGUUUUAGGCGAGGCUAACAACUCUAUUCUAGGUGUGGUAGAUGAAGAGAAGCUGUAUACACUACAAAGAAGUGUAGUGGGAUAGUGUAGAAGCUUCUUCAAGAUGGAGGUGUUAGCAAAUGAAAUUGCGUCCAAGGACAUCAGAGGUGCGACGAUAAUAAGAUAUUCGGGCUUUAUGGUUUUGUUGGUAUUUGAGAAUGAGAAAAAGAUGGAAUAUUUAAUGGCGAAACAAAUAGAGACGCUUGAUAAUUGGUUCUUGCGGUUGCAGCGAUGGUAAGAGAAAAUCAUAAUCAACAGUCAAAGAGCGUGGUUGGCCUGUAGAAGGAUUCCUAUCCAUGCAUGGAACAUGGUUGCUUUUCAGAAUAUUGGAGAGAGAUGAGGGGAAUUUAUAUUUGUUGAUAGUGGGACAUUAUAUCCCAGUUACUUCAUGAGGGCUAAUAUACAAAUUGUUAUGGAUAUUUCAUGAGGAAAAU
This 813-nucleotide long non-coding RNA is filed under the name Gossypium barbadense (sea-island cotton). Its description in RNAcentral is "long non-coding RNA (GBAR_LNC015583)". The record is from RNAcentral. Lineage: Eukaryota; Viridiplantae; Streptophyta; Magnoliopsida; Malvales; Malvaceae.